Molecule: ribosomal RNA, 418 nt
Filed under: uncultured bacterium
Lineage: Bacteria
Description: bacterial SSU rRNA
Rfam family: Bacterial small subunit ribosomal RNA
Source: RNAcentral
UGAGGAAUAUUGGUCAAUGGGCGCAAGCCUGAACCAGCCAUCCCGCGUGAAGGAAGAAGGCGCUAUGCGUUGUAAACUUCUUUUCCAGGGGGAGAAUUUUUCCGUCGUGACGGGAAUUGACGGUACUCUGGGAAUAAGCAUCGGCUAACUCCGUGCCAGCAGCCGCGGUAAUACGGAGGAUGCGAGCGUUAUCCGGCUUUAUUGGGUUUAAAGGGUGCGUAGGCGGAUAGAUAGGUCAGUGGUGAAAUUCUGCAGCUUAACUGUAGACUUGCCGUUGAUACUGUCAGUCUUGAGUAUGGUCAAGGCAGGCGGAAUGUGUAAUGUAGCGGUGAAAUGCUUAGAUAUUACACAGAACACCGAUUGCGAAGGCAGCUUGCUGGGCCAUUACUGACGCUGAUGCACGAAAGCGUGGGGAUCG